AUUUAUUUAAAUCUAAAUAUAUUGGCGGCAUUUUAUCUUAUUAGAGAAAUCUGUUUUAUAAUCGACAAUCCACGAUAUAUUUUACUUUAAUCAUAAAAUUUAUAUAUCGCCAUCAUAAGAACUAAUUAUAAAAAUAUUACUCUUAAUAAAAAAUAAAAAAAUAGGUCAAGGUGUAAUUUAUAUUAAAGAAAAAUAUGGAUUACUUUAAAAAUAUUUAUGAAUUAUUUUUAUAUAAAAAAUAUGAAAUAGAAUUUAAAAGUAAUAUGUAAUAACAUUACAAAUAAAUAAAAUUUAUAUGUGAAUAAGAUAAUAAAUGUGCACACAUCGCCCGGUCGCU
Molecule: ribosomal RNA, 337 nt
Filed under: Pirata piraticus
Lineage: Eukaryota; Metazoa; Arthropoda; Arachnida; Araneae; Lycosidae
Description: partial 12S ribosomal RNA
Source: RNAcentral